RNAcentral lists this ribosomal RNA (496 nucleotides) under uncultured Arenimonas sp. RNAcentral describes it as "bacterial SSU rRNA". It matches the Rfam family "Bacterial small subunit ribosomal RNA", at positions 521 to 1015 of the family's 1533-position model. Lineage: Bacteria; Pseudomonadati; Pseudomonadota; Gammaproteobacteria; Lysobacterales; Lysobacteraceae. The record is from RNAcentral.
UAAUACGAAGGGUGCAAGCGUUACUCGGAAUUACUGGGCGUAAAGCGUGCGUAGGUGGUUCGUUAAGUCAGAUGUGAAAGCCCCGGGCUCAACCUGGGAAUUGCAUUUGAUACUGGCGGACUAGAGUGCGGUAGAGGAGAGUGGAAUUCCCCGGUGUAGCAGUGAAAUGCGUAGAGAUCGGGAGGAACAUCAGUUGCGAAGGCGGCUCUCUGGACCAGCACUGACACUGAGGCACGAAAGCGUGGGAGCAAACAGGAUUAGAUACCCUGGUAGUCCACGCCCUAAACGAUGCGAACUGGACGUUGGGUGCAAUUGAGCAUUCAGUGUCGAAGCUAACGCGUUAAGUUCGCCGCCUGGGGAGUACGGUCGCAAGACUGAAACUCAAAGGAAUUGACGGGGGCCCGCACAAGCGGUGGAGUAUGUGGUUUAAUUCGAUGCAACGCGCAGAACCUUACCUGGCCUUGACAUGUCGCGGACUUUCCAGAGAUGGAUUGGU